RNAcentral lists this ribosomal RNA (850 nucleotides) under uncultured bacterium. RNAcentral describes it as "bacterial SSU rRNA". It matches the Rfam family "Bacterial small subunit ribosomal RNA", at positions 43 to 892 of the family's 1533-position model. The record is from RNAcentral.
GGGGCAGCCUACAUNCAGNUCGAACGGANCAUCCCGUCGAUGCGAUUUCGGUCAAGUCAAGGGAUGUUUUAGUGGCGGACGGGUGAGUAACGCGUGGGCAACCUGCCUUACACCGGGGGAUAACACUUAGAAAUAGGUGCUAAUACCGCAUAACAGGAGAACAUGCAUGUGUUUUCCUUGAAAACCACGGUGGUGUAAGAUGGACCCGCGUCUGAUUAGCUUGUUGGCAGGGUAACGGCCUACCAAGGCGACGAUCAGUAGCCGGCCUGAGAGGGUGAACGGCCACAUUGGGACUGAGACACGGCCCAAACUCCUACGGGAGGCAGCAGUGGGGAAUAUUGCACAAUGGGGGAAACCCUGAUGCAGCGACGCCGCGUGAGUGAAGAAGUAUUUCGGUACGUAAAGCUCUAUCAGCAGGGAAGAAAAUGACGGUACCUGACUAAGAAGCCCCGGCUAACUACGUGCCAGCAGCCGCGGUAAUACGUAGGGGGCAAGCGUUAUCCGGAUUUACUGGGUGUAAAGGGAGCGUAGACGGCAGCGCAAGUCUGGAGUGAAAUCCCAUGGCUUAACCAUGGAACUGCUUUGGAAACUGUGCAGCUGGAGUGCAGGAGAGGUAAGCGGAAUUCCUAGUGUAGCGGUGAAAUGCGUAGAUAUUAGGAGGAACACCAGUGGCGAAGGCGGCUUACUGGACUGUAACUGACGUUGAGGCUCGAAAGCGUGGGGAGCAAACAGGAUUAGAUACCCUGGUGGUCCACGCUGUAAACGAUGAUUACUAGGUGUUGGGGGACCAAGGUCCUUCGGUGCCGUCGCAAACGCAUUAAGUAAUCCACCUGGGGAGUACGUUCGCAAG